RNAcentral lists this ribosomal RNA (468 nucleotides) under uncultured bacterium. RNAcentral's name for it is "partial 16S ribosomal RNA". It matches the Rfam family "Bacterial small subunit ribosomal RNA", at positions 28 to 507 of the family's 1533-position model. The record is from RNAcentral.
GACGAACGCUGGCGGCGUGCUUAACACACGCAAGUCGAACGGAAAGGCCCUGCUUUUGUGGGGUGCUCGAGUGGCGAACGGGUGAGUAACACGUGAGUAACCUGCCCUUGACUUUGGGAUAACUUCAGGAAACUGGGGCUAAUACCGGAUAGGAGCUCCUGCUGCAUGGUGGGGGUUGGAAAGUUUCGGCGGUUGGGGAUGGACUCGCGGCUUAUCAGCUUGUUGGUGGGGUAGUGGCUUACCAAGGCUUUGACGGGUAGCCGGCCUGAGAGGGUGACCGGCCACAUUGGGACUGAGAUACGGCCCAGACUCCUACGGGAGGCAGCAGUGGGGAAUAUUGCACAAUGGGCGGAAGCCUGAUGCAGCAACGCCGCGUGCGGGAUGACGGCCUUCGGGUUGUAAACCGCUUUCGCCUGUGAGGAAGCGUGAGUGACGGUAAUGGGUAAAGAAGCACCGGCUAACUACGUG